RNAcentral lists this ribosomal RNA (595 nucleotides) under Morchella sp. Mel-17. RNAcentral's name for it is "eukaryotic LSU rRNA". It matches the Rfam family "Eukaryotic large subunit ribosomal RNA", at positions 49 to 654 of the family's 3401-position model. Lineage: Eukaryota; Fungi; Ascomycota; Pezizomycetes; Pezizales; Morchellaceae. The record is from RNAcentral.
AGCGGAGGAAAAGAAACCAACAGGGAUUGCCUCAGUAACGGCGAGUGAAGCGGCAAAAGCUCAAAUUUUAAAGCUGACAUCUUCGGUGUCCGCGUUGUAAUUUUGUGAGGCAUCUCCGGGUAGGGCGCCGGCCUAAGUUCCUUGGAACAGGACGUCACAGAGGGUGAGAAUCCCGUGCUUGGCUGGCUGUCCCCGUCCAUGUGAGGUGUCUUCGACGAGUCGAGUUGUUUGGGAAUGCAGCUCAAAAUGGGUGGUAAAUUUCAUCUAAAGCUAAAUAUUGGUGGGAGACCGAUAGCGCACAAGUAGAGUGAUCGAAAGAUGAAAAGCACUUUGAAAAUAGAGUUAAAAAGUACGUGAAAUUGUUGAAAGGGAAGCGCUUGAGACCAGACUUCGGUAAGGGGUGAUCAGCCGUCCUUUUGGGCGGUGCACUUGCCCCCCUCCGGGCCAGCAUCGGUUGAGGCGGCGGGAUAAAGGUCCCGGGAAUGUGGCUCCUUCACGGGAGUGUUAUAGCCCGGGUGAAUGCCGCCAGCUUCGACCGAAGACCGCACCCGCAAGGGUUAGGAUGCUUGGCAUAAUGGUCUUCAGCGACCCGUCU